This 515-nucleotide ribosomal RNA is filed under the name uncultured bacterium. Its description in RNAcentral is "bacterial SSU rRNA". It matches the Rfam family "Bacterial small subunit ribosomal RNA", at positions 420 to 929 of the family's 1533-position model. The record is from RNAcentral.
GGGUUGUAAACUCCUUUCGUUAGGGACGAAGCCACACCUUUUUUUGGGUGUGGUGACGGUACCUUUGUUAAGAAGCACCGGCUAACUACGUGCCAGCAGCCGCGGUAAUACGUAGGGUGCGAGCGUUGUCCGGAAUUACUGGGCGUAAAGAGCUCGUAGGUGGUUUGUUGCGUCGUCUGUGAAAUUCCGGGGCUUAACUUCGGGGUGGCAGGCGAUACGGGCAUAACUAGAGUGCUGUAGGGGAGACUGGAAUUCCUGGUGUAGCGGUGGAAUGCGCAGAUAUCAGGAGGAACACCGAUGGCGAAGGCAGGUCUCUGGGCAGUAACUGACGCUGAGGAGCGAAAGCAUGGGGAGCGAACAGGAUUAGAUACCCUGGUAGUCCAUGCUGUAAACGGUGGGCGUUAGGUGUGGGGACCGGUUUGGUUUCUGUGCCGUAGCUAACGCAUUAAGCGCCCCGCCUGGGGAGUACGGCCGCAAGGCUAAAACUCAAAGGAAUUGACGGGGGCCCGCACAAG